ACGGAAGGCAGCAGUAGGGAAUCUUCGGCAAUGGGGGCAACCCUGACCGAGCAACGCCGCGUGAGUGAAGAAGGUUUUCGGGUCGUAAAGCUCUGUUGUAAGAGAAGAACGUGUGUGAGAGUGGAAAGUUCACACAGUGACGGUAACUUACCAGAAAGGGACGGCUAACUACGUGCCAGCAGCCGCGGUAAUACGUAGGUCCCGAGCGUUGUCCGGAUUUAUUGGGCGUAAAGCGAGCGCAGGCGGUGUAAUAAGUCUGAAGUUAAAGGCAGUGGCUUAACCAUUCUUCGCUGUGGAAACUGUUAGACUUGAGUGCAGAAGGGGAGAGUGGAAUUCCAUGUGUAGCGGUGAAAUGCGUAGAUAUAUGGAGGAACACCGGUUGCGAAAGCAGCCCUCUGGUCUGUAACUGACGCUGAGGCUCGAAAGCGUGGGGAGCAAACAGGAUUAGAUACCCUGGUA
RNAcentral lists this ribosomal RNA (459 nucleotides) under uncultured Streptococcus sp. Its description in RNAcentral is "partial 16S ribosomal RNA". It matches the Rfam family "Bacterial small subunit ribosomal RNA", at positions 341 to 792 of the family's 1533-position model. The record is from RNAcentral. Lineage: Bacteria; Bacillati; Bacillota; Bacilli; Lactobacillales; Streptococcaceae.